CCCUUAGAUGUCCUGGGCCGCACGCGCGCUACACUGAUGCAUUCAACGAGUUUUACCUUGGCCGAGAGGCCUGGGCAAUCUUUUAAACCUGCAUCGUGAUAGGGAUAGAUUAUUGCAAUUAUUAAUCUUGAACGAGGAAUUCCUAGUAAACGCAAAUCAUCAAUUUGCAUUGAUUACGUCCCUGCCCUUUGUACACACCGCCCGUCGCACCUACCGAUUGAAUGGUCCGGUGAGGCCUCGGGAUUGUGGCCAGUUCACUUUAUUGGGAGUUGGCUGUGAGAACUUGUCUAAACCUUAUCAUUUAGAGGAAGGUGAAGUCGUAACA
Molecule: ribosomal RNA, 325 nt
Filed under: uncultured eukaryote
Lineage: Eukaryota
Description: partial 18S ribosomal RNA
Rfam family: Eukaryotic small subunit ribosomal RNA
Source: RNAcentral